RNAcentral lists this ribosomal RNA (464 nucleotides) under uncultured Klebsiella sp. RNAcentral describes it as "bacterial SSU rRNA". It matches the Rfam family "Bacterial small subunit ribosomal RNA", at positions 338 to 795 of the family's 1533-position model. The record is from RNAcentral. Lineage: Bacteria; Pseudomonadati; Pseudomonadota; Gammaproteobacteria; Enterobacterales; Enterobacteriaceae.
CCUACGGGAGGCUGCAGUGGGGAAUAUUGCACAAUGGGCGCAAGCCUGAUGCAGCCAUGCCGCGUGUGUGAAGAAGGCCUUCGGGUUGUAAAGCACUUUCAGCGGGGAGGAAGGCGUUAAGGUUAAUAACCUUGUCGAUUGACGUUACCCGCAGAAGAAGCACCGGCUAACUCCGUGCCAGCAGCCGCGGUAAUACGGAGGGUGCAAGCGUUAAUCGGAAUUACUGGGCGUAAAGCGCACGCAGGCGGUCUGUCAAGUCGGAUGUGAAAUCCCCGGGCUCAACCUGGGAACUGCAUUCGAAACUGGCAGGCUAGAGUCGUGUAGAGGGGGGUAGAAGUCCAGGUGUAGCGGUGCAAUGCGUAGAGAGCUGGAGGAAUACCGGUGGCGAAGGCGGCCCCCUGGACAAAGACUGACGCUCAGGUGCGAAAGCGUGGGGAGCAAACAGGAUUAGAUACCCGGUAGUC